UGCACGGACUCUCACCGGAGGCAUGAACUGCUGCACGUCUUCCGGCCCCGCUGAGGCGAUCGCUACUUUCUCUGAAUUCCCGGCCAUGACUGGAGCCGAACACCUGAGGAUCCCAGUGUGAGAUCAUACUGACAUACCUGAAAGUCGUAUGGCUGCGGCGAACACCAGUGUCUCAGAAAGAAGCCAAUGGAGGAGCCAAGAUCACAGAUGCCUUUUUGACAGCUACAGGAGGAGGUCCCAUAAUCCACUGAAGUCUCCGGAUCCAUGUCCCCUUCUCGUUUCGCUCCAAAUGGCGGGACGAGGCGGGGGCUCGCAUUGGAACGUGAGAAACCGAACGGAUGCAACAAAGGAUUCCGAGGCAGUAAGCAGAUAGCACUGACGGCCGCUUG
Long non-coding RNA from Nerophis ophidion (straightnose pipefish), 389 nucleotides. RefSeq lists it as uncharacterized. The record is from RefSeq and is a predicted model, not a curated record. Lineage: Eukaryota; Metazoa; Chordata; Actinopteri; Syngnathiformes; Syngnathidae. The transcript is spliced from 4 exons.